RNAcentral lists this ribosomal RNA (459 nucleotides) under uncultured bacterium. Its description in RNAcentral is "partial 16S ribosomal RNA". It matches the Rfam family "Bacterial small subunit ribosomal RNA", at positions 338 to 795 of the family's 1533-position model. The record is from RNAcentral.
CCUACGGGAGGCAGCAGUGAGGAAUAUUGGUCAAUGGCCGGGAGGCUGAACCAGCCAAGUCGCGUGAGGGAAGACGGCCCUACGGGUUGUAAACCUCUUUUGUCAGGGAGCAAGGUGCAGGUCGGGACCUGCUGUGAGAGUACCUGAAGAAAAAGCAUCGGCUAACUCCGUGCCAGCAGCCGCGGUAAUACGGAGGAUGCGAGCGUUAUCCGGAUUUAUUGGGUUUAACGGGUGCGCAGGUGGAGGCACAAGUCAGCGGUAAAAUCGCGGGGCUCAACCCCGCUCCGCCGUUGAAACUGUGUGCCUUGAGUGCGCGAAGGGUAGGCGGAAUGCGUGGUGUAGCGGUGAAAUGCAUAGAUAGCACGCAGAACUCCGAUCGCGAAGGCAGCCUACCGGCGCGCAACUGACGCUGAUGCACGAAAGCGUGGGUAUCGAACAGGAUUAGAUACCCUGGUAGUC